GACGAACGCUGGCGGCGUGCUUAACACAUGCAAGUCGAACGGAAAGGCUCCAGCUUGCUGGAGUACUCGAGUGGCGAACGGGUGAGUAACACGUGGGUAAUCUGCCCUGCACUCUGGGAUAAGCCUGGGAAACUGGGUCUAAUACUGGAUAUGACCUUUCUCCUUAUGGGGUUUGGUGGAAAGUUUUUCGGUGUAGGAUGAGCCCGCGGCCUAUCAGCUUGUUGGUGGGGUGAUGGCCUACCAAGGCGACGACGGGUAGCCGGCCUGAGAGGGUGAUCGGCCACAUUGGGACUGAGAUACGGCCCAGACUCCUACGGGAGGCAGCAGUGGGGAAUAUUGCACAAUGGGCGGAAGCCUGAUGCAGCGACGCCGCGCGAGGGAUGACGGCCUUCGGGUUGUAAACCUCUUUCAGCAGGGACGAAGCGUAAGUGACGGUACCUGCAGAAGAAGCACCGGCUAACUAUGUG
Molecule: ribosomal RNA, 467 nt
Filed under: uncultured bacterium
Lineage: Bacteria
Description: partial 16S ribosomal RNA
Rfam family: Bacterial small subunit ribosomal RNA
Source: RNAcentral